RNAcentral lists this ribosomal RNA (1714 nucleotides) under seawater metagenome. Its description in RNAcentral is "bacterial LSU rRNA". It matches the Rfam family "Bacterial large subunit ribosomal RNA", at positions 770 to 2370 of the family's 2925-position model. The record is from RNAcentral.
AGUACUGGUGACUGGAGUUCAGACGUGUGCUCUUCCGAUCUUAGGGGUGAAAGGCCAAUCAAACACCGUGAUAGCUGGUUCUCCCCGAAAUGCAUUUAGGUGCAGCGUUGCGUGGUUCUUGUUGGAGGUAGAGCACUGGAUGGUCUAGGGGGCUUAUCGGCUUACCGAAAUCAGCCAAACUCCGAAUGCUGGCAAGUGUAGCGUGGCAGUGAGACGGCGGGGGAUAAGCUUCGUCGUCGAGAGGGAAACAGCCCAGAUCAUCAGCUAAGGCCCCUAAGUGGUGACUCAGUGGGAAAGGAUGUGGAGUUGCGUAGACAACCAGGAGGUUGGCUUGGAAGCAGCCAUCCUUGAAAGAGUGCGUAAUAGCUCACUGGUCAAGUGAUUCCGCGCCGAUAAUGUAGCGGGGCUUAAGUUAUCCGCCGAAGCUGUGGCAACCUGUGUGGUUGGGUAGGGGAGCGUCGUGUCAGUGGUGAAGCUGCCGGGUGACUGUGUGGUGGAGUUGAUGCGAGUGAGAAUGCAGGCAUGAGUAGCGUGUGACGGGUGGGAAUCCCGUCCGCCGAUUAUCCAAGGGUUCCAGGGUCAAGUUUGUCUGCCCUGGGUGAGUCGGGUCCUAAGGCGAGGCCGACAGGCGUAGUCGAUGGGUAACCAGUUGAUAUUCUGGUACCGGCUUGUCACCGUCCGUGUCGAGGUGUGUGAUGCUAAGCAUGUGAGCUUGUCUUGGGAGUGUUUUUGAUGCUUCUGGGGUGGGUGAGUGUGUGAACCGAUCAUGUAGUAGGCAAGCUGCGGAGGGACGCAGUGAGGUAGCUCAUCCCCGGUGAUGGUUGUCCGGGGCUAAGUGUGUGGACUGUCUGGUAGGUAAAUCCGCUGGGCGUGAAGGUUGAGGCAUGAUGGGGAGCCCACGGUUGUGGGUGAGUGAGUGAUCCUGUACUGUCGAGAAAAGCUUCGUGAGCGAGGUGGCGGGUCCGCCCGUACCCUAAACCGACACUGGUGGAUAGGUAGAGUAUACCGAGGCGAUCGAGUGAAUCGUGGUGAAGGAACUCGGCAAAAUGCCCCCGUAACUUUGGGAUAAGGGGGACCUGAGCUGUCGUGCACCCGUGCGGUGUGGUGGCGGUGAGGGGCGCAGAGUCCAGGGGGAAACGACUGUUUACCAAAAACACAGGUCCGUGCGAAGUCGUAAGACGAUGUAUACGGACUGACUCCUGCCCGGUGCUGGAAGGUUAAGAGGAUUGGUUAGCUCUUUUGGGCGAAGCUGAGAAUUUAAGCCCCAGUAAACGGCGGUGGUAACUAUAACCAUCCUAAGGUAGCGAAAUUCCUUGUCGGGUAAGUUCCGACCUGCACGAAUGGAGUAACGACUUCCCUACUGUCUCAACCAUGAACUCGGCGAAAUUGCAGUACGAGUAAAGAUGCUCGUUUCGCGCAGCAGGACGGAAAGACCCCGUGACCUUUACUAUAGUUUGGUAUUGGUGUUUGGUUUGGCUUGUGUAGGAUAGGUGGGAGACUGUGAAGCAUGGACGCUAGUUUGUGUGGAGUCGUUGUUGAAAUACCACUCUGGUCAAUCUGGAUGUCUAACUUCGGGCCAUGAUCUGGUUCAGGGACAGUGCCUGAUGGGUAGUUUAACUGGGGCGGUUGCCUCCUAAAGUGUAACGGAGGCGCCCAAAGGUUCCCUCAGCCUGGUUGGCAAUCAGGUGUUGAGUGUAAGUGCACAAGGGAGCUU